Rosa chinensis is the source of this 684-nucleotide long non-coding RNA. RefSeq lists it as uncharacterized. Lineage: Eukaryota; Viridiplantae; Streptophyta; Magnoliopsida; Rosales; Rosaceae. The transcript is spliced from 2 exons. The record is from RefSeq and is a predicted model, not a curated record.
ACCUGCACUUGUCGUCAACAUAAAAGGUAUUUCGAAAAUGUUUUCUGGUUGUUGUUUUAUGUCCUGAUUUCUGGUGGGCAGCAGUAGAGUUUUGGGGUUUUGUGGCUUUUUGGUUGGUGUAUUUGGCUUUGGGGAUUUCGAGGCUUUUUAGCACGGAGGAUUUGUUAUCGGUGCUGUUUUGGAAGGGUUAUAAAACCCAUGUGGAAAUAAACAGAGGAAGAACUUUCUGCACUCAUGAACCCAUCAGCAACAAUACAGGAAAAGUACCAAUAAAAGACCAUGGAGAAAUGACCAGCAGGAUACCUGAACUUGAUGCUCUCCUGUCGUCGGGUUGUAGUCUCCAGCCUUGUGUUUCUUAUAUAGGGGGCAGUGAAGAUUCUAGACGGCGGGAUAAACAUUUGUUUGAAAUUUGAAUCUCCCGAAGCUCACGAAGAUAAGCUGUUGAUCGGAGACUUCGUCUUUGACUUUGAGAUUGAACUUGGACGCCCUCUGCCACUUUGUUCUUAUCACAAUUUGAAUGCUUUCUUCUGUUUCUUUUUUUCCGUAGCUUAUCCCCACCCAAGCUUGGUCAACCUUUGAAUUUGAGAAACAGAUAAUUUGUAAAUAAAUAUUUGUUUAACUGCUGUCAUUAUCCUCUUCUCUUUUUUUUUUUUGAAUAAUUGUGACAGCUACAUGCUUUGUACA